RNAcentral lists this ribosomal RNA (588 nucleotides) under uncultured bacterium. RNAcentral's name for it is "partial 16S ribosomal RNA". It matches the Rfam family "Bacterial small subunit ribosomal RNA", at positions 355 to 1375 of the family's 1533-position model. The record is from RNAcentral.
UGGGGAAUUUUGGACAAUGGGCGAAAGCCUGAUCCAGCAAUGCCGCGUGUGUGAAGAAGGCCUUCGGGUUGUAAAGCACUUUUGUCCGGAAAGAAAUCCUUGGCUCUAAUACAGUCGGGGGAUGACGGUACCGGAAGAAUAAGCACCGGCUAACUACGUGCCAGCAGCCGCGGUAAUACGUAGGGUGCAAGCGUUAAUCGGAAUUACUGGGCGUAAAGCGUGCGCAGGCGGUUUGCUAAGACCGAUGUGAAAUCCCCGGGCUCAACCUGGGAACUGCAUUGGUGACUGGCAGGCUAGAGUAUGGCAGAGGGGGGUAGAAUUCCACGUGUAGCAGUGAAAUGCGUAGAGAUGUGGAGGAAUACCGAUGGCGAAGGCAGCCCCCUGGGCCAAAUACUGACGCUCAUGCACGAAAGCGUGGGGAGCAAACAGGAUUAGAUACCCUGGUAGUCCACGCCCUAAAACGAUGUCAACUAGUUGUUGGGGAUUCAUUUCCUUAGUAACGUAGCUAACGCGUGAAGUUGACCGCCUGGGGAGUACGGUCGCAAGAUUAAAAACUUAAAGGAAUUGACGGGGUCAUAGCUGUUUCCU